This 655-nucleotide long non-coding RNA is filed under the name Elaeis guineensis (African oil palm). RNAcentral's name for it is "long non-coding RNA (EGUI_LNC081329)". The record is from RNAcentral. Lineage: Eukaryota; Viridiplantae; Streptophyta; Magnoliopsida; Arecales; Arecaceae.
AAUCGAAGUCGGGGCGAAGUCCGGCUCCCUUAGGAGUCCGGACAAAGUUUACCAGUAGUCGAGGUCGAGGACGGAGCCCGGACUCCUACACUGAGGUCGGGGAUGAAGUCCGGACGGAGUCUUCCUGCGGCCGGAGUCGGUGGCGAGAUCCGGCUCUCGUAGGAGUCCGGACUGAGUCUUCCUGCAAUUGGAGUUGGGGGCGAAGUCCGACUCCCGUAGAAGUUCGGACGGAAUCUUCCUGCAGCCGGAGUUGGGGACGAGGUCCGGCUCCCGUAGGAGUCCGGACGAAGGCUUCCUGCAAUUAAAGUUAGGGGCGAAGUCCGACUCCCGUAGGAGUCCGGAUGAAGUUUACCAGCAGUCGAAGUCGGGGAUGAAGCCCGGCUCCCAUAGGAGUCCGGACGAAGUUCACUUGCAAUUGACGUCGGGGUGAAGUCUGGUUCCCUUAGAAGUCCGAAUUGAGUUUACCUGCAGCCGGAGUUGAGGACGAGGCCCGGCUCCCGUAGGAGUCUGGGCGAAGUCUGCAGGUGAAGUCGUGGGUGGAGUCCGACUCCUGUAGGAGUCCGGACGAAGUCUGCCUGCAAUCAGAGUCGUGGACGAAAUUCGGCUCUCGUAGGAGUCCGAACGAAGUCUGCAGGUGAAGUCAUGGGCGGAGUCC